Molecule: ribosomal RNA, 468 nt
Filed under: uncultured bacterium
Lineage: Bacteria
Description: partial 16S ribosomal RNA
Rfam family: Bacterial small subunit ribosomal RNA
Source: RNAcentral
GACGAACGCUGGCGGCGUGCUUAACACAUGCAAGUCGAACGGAAAGGCCCUGCUUUUGUGGGGUGCUCGAGUGGCGAACGGGUGAGUAACACGUGAGUAACCUGCCCUUGACUUUGGGAUAACUUCAGGAAACUGGGGCUAAUACCGGAUAGGAGCUCCUGCUGCAUGGUGGGGGUUGGAAAGUUUCGGCGGUUGGGGAUGGACUCGCGGCUUAUCAGCUUGUUGGUGGGGUAGUGGCUUACCAAGGCUUUGACGGGUAGCCGGGCUGAGAGGGUGACCGGCCAAAUUGGGACUGAGAUACGGCCCAGACUACUACGGGAGGCAGCAGUGGGGAAUAUUGCACAAUGGGCGGAAGCCUGAUGCAGCAACGCCGCGUGCGGGAUGACGGCCUUCGGGUUGUAUACCGCUUUCGCCUGUGACGAAGCGUGAGUGACGGUAAUGGGUAAAGAAGCACCGGCUAACUACGUG